Molecule: ribosomal RNA, 496 nt
Filed under: uncultured bacterium
Lineage: Bacteria
Description: partial 16S ribosomal RNA
Rfam family: Bacterial small subunit ribosomal RNA
Source: RNAcentral
GAUGAACGCUGGCGGCGUGCCUAAUACAUGCAAGUCGAGCGAACGGACGAGAAGCUUGCUUCUCUGAUGUUAGCGGCGGACGGGUGAGUAACACGUGGAUAACCUACCUAUAAUACUGGGAUAACUUCGGGAAACCAGAGCUACUAACAGAUAAUAUUUUGUACCGCAUGGUUCAAAAGUGAAAGACGGUCUUGCUGUCACUUAUAGAUGGAUCCGGGCUGCAUUAGGUAGUUGGUAAGGUAACGGCUUACCAAGGCAACGAUGCAUGGCCGACCUGAGGGGGGGAUCGGCCACACGGAAAGUGAGAAACGGUCCAGACUCCUAGGGGAGGAAGCAGUAGGGAAUCUGGCGCAAUGGGCGAAAGCCUGACGGAGCAACGCCGGGUGGGUGAUGAAGGUUUUCGGAUCGUAAAACUCUGUGAUGAGGAAAGAACAUAUGUGUAAGUAACCGUGCACAUCUGGCCGGUACCUAAGCAGAAAACCACGGCUAACUCCGG